GACAGAGGGGGCAAGCGUUGCUCGGAAUUACUGGGCGUAAAGAGCUCGUAGGCGGUCUGUCGCGUCGAUCGUGAAAACUUGGGGCUUAACCCUGAGCUUGCGGUCGAUACGGGCAUGACUGGAGUUCGGCAGGGGAGACUGGAAUUCCUGGUGUAGCGGUGAAAUGCGCAGAUAUCAGGAGGAACACCGGUGGCGAAGGCGGGUCUCUGGGCCGAUACUGACGCUGAGGAGCGAAAGCGUGGGGAGCGAACAGG
Molecule: ribosomal RNA, 254 nt
Filed under: uncultured bacterium
Lineage: Bacteria
Description: partial 16S ribosomal RNA
Rfam family: Bacterial small subunit ribosomal RNA
Source: RNAcentral